This 253-nucleotide ribosomal RNA is filed under the name uncultured bacterium. RNAcentral's name for it is "partial 16S ribosomal RNA". It matches the Rfam family "Bacterial small subunit ribosomal RNA", at positions 524 to 776 of the family's 1533-position model. The record is from RNAcentral.
UACGAAGGGGGCAAGCGUUGUUCGGAAUCAUUGGGCGUAAAGCGCACGUAGGUGGCCUGUUAAGUCGGGUGUGAAAUCCCUGGGCUCAACCCAGGAAGUGCACUCGAAACUGGCAGGCUUGAGUACUGAAGAGGGUCGCGGAAUUCCCGGUGUAGAGGUGAAAUUCGUAGAUAUCGGGAGGAACACCAGUGGCGAAGGCGGCGACCUGGGCAGAUACUGACACUGAGGUGCGAAAGCGUGGGGAGCAAACAGG